RNAcentral lists this ribosomal RNA (459 nucleotides) under uncultured bacterium. RNAcentral describes it as "partial 16S ribosomal RNA". It matches the Rfam family "Bacterial small subunit ribosomal RNA", at positions 28 to 523 of the family's 1533-position model. The record is from RNAcentral.
GAUGAACGCUGGCGGCGUGCCUAAAACAUGCAAGUCGAGCGGUAAGGCCCCUUCGGGGGUACACGAGCGGCGGACGGGUGAGUAACACGUGGGAAUCUACCCCAAACUGAGGGAUAAGCACCGGAAACGGUGUCUAAUACCGCAUAUGGUCUUCGGAUUAAAGCUUCGGCGGUUUGGGAAGAGCCCGCGUAAGAUUAGCUAGUUGGUGAGGUAAAGGCUUACCAAGGCGACGAUCUUUAGCUGGUUUGAGAGGAUGAUCAGCCACACUGGAACUGAGACACGGUCCAGACUCCUACGGGAGGCAGCAGUUAGGAAUUUUCCACAAUGGGCGAAAGCCUGAUGGAGCAACGCCGCGUGCAGGAUGAAUGCCUUCGGGUUGUAAACUGCUUUUAUGUGCGAAGAAUAUGACGGUAACACAUGAAUAAGGAUCGGCUAACUCCGUGCCAGCCGCCGCGGUAA